This 468-nucleotide ribosomal RNA is filed under the name uncultured Actinomycetes bacterium. RNAcentral's name for it is "bacterial SSU rRNA". It matches the Rfam family "Bacterial small subunit ribosomal RNA", at positions 28 to 508 of the family's 1533-position model. Lineage: Bacteria; Bacillati; Actinomycetota; Actinomycetes. The record is from RNAcentral.
GACGAACGCUGGCGGCGUGCUUAACACAUGCAAGUCGAACGGAAAGGCCCUGCUUUUGUGGGGUGCUCGAGUGGCGAACGGGUGAGUAACACGUGAGUAACCUGCCCUUGACUUUGGGAUAACUUCAGGAAACUGGGGCUAAUACCGGAUAGGAGCUCCUGCUGCAUGGUGGGGGUUGGAAAGUUUCGGCGGUUGGGGAUGGACUCGCGGCUUAUCAGCUUGUUGGUGGGGUAGUGGCUUACCAAGGCUUUGACGGGUAGCCGGCCUGAGAGGGUGACCGGCCACAUUGGGACUGAGAUACGGCCCAGACUCCUACGGGAGGCAGCAGUGGGGAAUAUUGCACAAUGGGCGGAAGCCUGAUGCAGCAACGCCGCGUGCGGGAUGACGGCUUCGGGUUGUAAACCGCUUUCGCCUGUGACGAAGCGUGAGUGACGGUAAUGGGUAAAGAAGCACCGGCUAACUACGUGC